RNAcentral lists this ribosomal RNA (301 nucleotides) under uncultured bacterium. Its description in RNAcentral is "partial 16S ribosomal RNA". It matches the Rfam family "Bacterial small subunit ribosomal RNA", at positions 509 to 807 of the family's 1533-position model. The record is from RNAcentral.
CAGUCGCCGCGGGAAUACGUAGGGUGCGAGCGUUAAUCGGAAUUACUGGGCGUAAAGCGUGCGCAGGCGGUUUUGCAAGACAGGCGCGAAAUCCCCGGGCUCAACCUGGGAAUGGCGCUUGUGACUGCAAAGCUAGAGUGCGGCAGAGGGGGAUGGAAUUCCGCGUGUAGCAGUGAAAUGCGUGGAUAUGCGGAGGAACACCGAUGGCGAAGGCAAUCCCCUGGGCCAGCACUGACGCUCAUGCACGAAAGCGUGGGGAGCAAACAGGAUUAGAUACCCCGGUAGUCCCUGUCUCUUAUAC